AACUGAGGGAAACUUGAGCUAAUACCGUAUACGCCCUACGGGGGAAAGAUUUAUCGGAGUUGGAUGAGCCCGCGUUGGAUUAGCUAGUUGGUGGGGUAAUGGCCUACUUCGGCGACGAUCCAUAGCUGGUCUGAGAGGAUGAUCAGCCACACUGGGACUGAGACACGGCCCAGACUCCUACGGGAGGCAGCAGUGGGGAAUAUUGGACAAUGGGCGAAAGCCUGAUCCAGCCAUGCCGCGUGAGUGAUGAAGGCCUUAGGGUUGUAAAGCUCUUUCACCGGGGAAGAUAAUGACGGUACCCGCAGAAGAAGCCCCGGCUAACUUCGUGCCAGCAC
This 335-nucleotide ribosomal RNA is filed under the name uncultured bacterium. Its description in RNAcentral is "bacterial SSU rRNA". It matches the Rfam family "Bacterial small subunit ribosomal RNA", at positions 145 to 514 of the family's 1533-position model. The record is from RNAcentral.